RNAcentral lists this ribosomal RNA (818 nucleotides) under uncultured bacterium. RNAcentral's name for it is "bacterial SSU rRNA". It matches the Rfam family "Bacterial small subunit ribosomal RNA", at positions 636 to 1453 of the family's 1533-position model. The record is from RNAcentral.
UNUGACUUGAGUGCAGAAGGGGAGAGUGGAAUUCCAUGUGUAGCGGUGAAAUGCGUAGAUAUAUGGAGGAACACCAGUGGCGAAAGCGGCUCUCUGGUCUGUCACUGACGCUGAGGCUCGAAAGCGUGGGUAGCGAACAGGAUUAGAUACCCUGGUAGUCCACGCCGUAAACGAUGAGUGCUAGGUGUUAGGCCCUUUCCGGGGCUUAGUGCCGGAGCUAACGCAAUAAGCACUCCGCCUGGGGAGUACGACCGCAAGGUUGAAACUCAAAGGAAUUGACGGGGGCCCGCACAAGCGGUGGAGCAUGUGGUUUAAUUCGAAGCAACGCGAAGAACCUUACCAGGUCUUGACAUCCCGAUGCUAUUCUUAGAGAUAGGAAGUUACUUCGGUACAUCGGAGACAGGUGGUGCAUGGUUGUCGUCAGCUCGUGUCGUGAGAUGUUGGGUUAAGUCCCGCAACGAGCGCAACCCUUAUUGUUAGUUGCCAUCAUUAAGUUGGGCACUCUAGCGAGACUGCCGGUAAUAAACCGGAGGAAGGUGGGGAUGACGUCAAAUCAUCAUGCCCCUUAUGACCUGGGCUACACACGUGCUACAAUGGUCGGUACAACGAGUUGCGAGCCGGUGACGGCAAGCUAAUCUCUGAAAGCCGAUCUCAGUUCGGAUUGGAGGCUGCAACUCGCCUCCAUGAAGUCGGAAUCGCUAGUAAUCGCGGAUCAGCACGCCGUGGUGAAUACGUUCCCGGGCCUUGUACACACCGCCCGUCACACCACGAGAGUUUGUAACACCCGAAGUCGGUGAGGUAACCUUUUAGGGGCCAGC